This 890-nucleotide ribosomal RNA is filed under the name uncultured bacterium. Its description in RNAcentral is "bacterial SSU rRNA". It matches the Rfam family "Bacterial small subunit ribosomal RNA", at positions 8 to 893 of the family's 1533-position model. The record is from RNAcentral.
AGAGUUUGAUCCUGGCUCAGGAUGAACGCUGGCGGCGUGCCUAAUACAUGCAAGUCGAACGGAGUUCUUAAGGAAUGCGACUUCGGUCAAAUGACUUUUGAACUUAGUGGCGGACGGGUGAGUAACGCGUGAGCAACCUGCCUUUCAGAGGGGGAUAACAUUUGGAAACAGAUGCUAAUACCGCAUAAGAUUACAGUACCGCAUGAUACAGUGAUCAAAGGAGCAAUCCGCUGAAAGAUGGGCUCGCGUCCGAUUAGAUAGUUGGUGAGGUAACGGCUCACCAAGUCGACGAUCGGUAGCCGGACUGAGAGGUUGAACGGCCACAUUGGGACUGAGACACGGCCCAGACUCCUACGGGAGGCAGCAGUGGGGAAUAUUGCACAAUGGGCGAAAGCCUGAUGCAGCAACGCCGCGUGAGGGAAGACGGUUUUCGGAUUGUAAACCUCUGUUUUCGGUGACGAAUAAAUGACGGUAACCGAGUAGGAAGCCACGGCUAACUACGUGCCAGCAGCCGCGGUAAUACGUAGGUGGCAAGCGUUAUCCGGAAUUACUGGGUGUAAAGGGAGCGCAGGCGGGAUAGCAAGUCAGCUGUGAAAACUAUGGGCUCAACCCAUAAACUGCAGUUGAAACUGUUAUUCUUGAGUGGAGUAGAGGCAAGCGGAAUUCCGAGUGUAGCGGUGAAAUGCGUAGAUAUUCGGAGGAACACCAGUGGCGAAGGCGGCUUGCUGGGCUCUAACUGACGCUGAGGCUCGAAAGUGUGGGGAGCAAACAGGAUUAGAUACCCUGGUAGUCCACACUGUAAACGAUGAUUGCUAGGUGUGGGGGGUCUGACCCCCUCCGUGCCGGAGUUAACGCAAUAAGCAAUCCACCUGGGGAGUACGGCCGCAAGG